ACGGAAGGCAGCAGUGAGGAAUAUUGGUCAAUGGGCGCAAGCCUGAACCAGCCACGUCGCGUGAAGGAAGACUGCCCUAUGGGUUGUAAACUUCUUUUGCAUGGGAAUAAAGUGGGCCACGUGUGGCUUUUUGUAUGUACCAUUCGAAUAAGCAUCGGCUAACUCCGUGCCAGCAGCCGCGGUAAUACGGAGGAUGCGAGCGUUAUCCGGAUUUAUUGGGUUUAAAGGGUGCGUAGGCGGGAUGGUAAGUCAGUGGUGAAAGUUUGGGGCUCAACCGGAAAAUUGCCGUUGAAACUGCCGUGCUUGAGUGCGAGAGAGGUAGGCGGAAUGUGCCGUGUAGCGGUGAAAUGCAUAGAUAUGGUACAGAACACCGAUUGCGAAGGCAGCCUACUAGUACGCUACUGACGCUGAGGCACGAAAGCGUGGGUAUCGAACAGGAUUAGAUACCCUGGUA
This 454-nucleotide ribosomal RNA is filed under the name uncultured Paludibacter sp. RNAcentral describes it as "partial 16S ribosomal RNA". It matches the Rfam family "Bacterial small subunit ribosomal RNA", at positions 341 to 792 of the family's 1533-position model. The record is from RNAcentral. Lineage: Bacteria; Pseudomonadati; Bacteroidota; Bacteroidia; Bacteroidales; Paludibacteraceae.